Vespa mandarinia (Asian giant hornet) is the source of this 1172-nucleotide long non-coding RNA. RefSeq lists it as uncharacterized. NCBI's taxonomy places the organism in Eukaryota, Metazoa, Arthropoda, Insecta, Hymenoptera, Vespidae. The record is from RefSeq and is a predicted model, not a curated record.
GAGAAAGAGAGUAAGAAAGAAAGAAAGAAAGAAAGAAAGAAAGAAAGAAAGAAGAAAAGAAAGAAAGAAAAAUAACUAAGACAUAUCGGUUAAGUUUUAUCGGCUAAGGAAGUGACUAUGAAAGAUAUAGAAAGCUGAGUAUGCGCAAGAAGUAGGGAAAUCCAGUAAAGUUCAUUGAGUAUGACGAUGGUAAUAAGGGUGAAGGUUGAUUUUAAAAAGCAGAGAGCGAGAGAGAGAGAGAGAGAGAGAUGUAUAGCUGUAUAUAAAGGAAGAGUGGUGGUUGCAUGCUGCUGAACGAGCCGCCUAGUCUGCAACCCUCACUACUUGGCAGCUCGUUUUUCACACCGCCCGCACGCACCGGAAGGUGGUGGCCCACUGUUUUCGAGGACCAUUUAUUGAUCGCAUCAGCGCCUGCGUUUCUUCGUUGCUCCACUACCUUCGAAAAUUUCACCUCCUCCCGCACGUUUUCGUAUAGCCACCGAGGCUGCUUGUCGAACCAGAUUCACUUCCGGUUUUCCUUUUGGGGUUGUUGGUCCUCCAAGAUGAUGUUUAAUACCGACCGAUACUCUACGGUUACCGACCUUACUUCUUCACUCUUUUGGCGAACGGAAGUGGAGAAUGUAUCAAGGACGAUUGAUAAGAUAGAUUCCUAUGAUAGGAAGGGAAUUGGUAAAGUAAUUAAAACUUAUUUUAAUUCUUUAUAUGGUACAAGUUCUUCUUUUUUGUAUUAAAAAAAUAUAAAUUAUAUAUACUUGUUAUAGUACAGUAUAUAUUGUACAAUAUAGUUAUAGUUUAGUUUUAGUUUAUUAUGGUAUAAAUAACUAAAGUAUACACUAAAGUAUACACUAAUAAAGUGUAAACUAAAGUAUAUACUAUAUUAGGUAUAACUUACGUUUAAUAUAAUAAUGAUAUUAAUGAUAAUAUAAAUUAUUCAUUUAUACUUGGUACAAAUAGUAUAGCAUAUAUAGUACGUGUGGUACAAUAAUCCAAGUUAUAAUUAGUAUACCGACAUAUACUAUCUCUGCUGUAGAUUAAGUAUAUAAUGUAUAAUUUGUAUUUAGAAAAAAGAAACAUUUAUCAAACACUAACAUGUUAAGCAACAAUUGAUUUUGUUGCCAAAGAAAAAAUGUAAUAAAACCUAAAAAAAAAUAUAGACAUAUAUGAACGUGUGA